UGGGGAAUAUUGGACAAUGGGCGCAAGCCUGAUCCAGCCAUGCCGCGUGAGUGAAGAGGGCCUUCGGGUUGUAAAGCUCUUUUACCAGGGACGAUAAUGACGGUACCUGGAGAAUAAGCCCCGGCAAACUUCGUGCCAGCAGCCGCGGUAAUACGAAGGGGGCUAGCGUUGUUCGGAAUUACUGGGCGUAAAGCGCACGUAGGCGGAUUGUUAAGUCAGAGGUGAAAUCCCGGAGCUCAACUUCGGAACUGCCUUUGAUACUGGCAAUCUCGAGUCCGGAAGAGGUUAGUGGAAUUCCCAGUGUAGAGGUGAAAUUCGUAGAUAUUGGGAAGAACACCAGUGGCGAAGGCGGCUAACUGGUCCGGUACUGACGCUGAGGUGCGAAAGCGUGGGGAGCAAACAGGAUUAGAUACCCCAGUAGUCCCUGAGCGGGCUGGCAAGGCGCAU
RNAcentral lists this ribosomal RNA (447 nucleotides) under uncultured bacterium. RNAcentral's name for it is "bacterial SSU rRNA". It matches the Rfam family "Bacterial small subunit ribosomal RNA", at positions 355 to 825 of the family's 1533-position model. The record is from RNAcentral.